RNAcentral lists this transfer RNA (84 nucleotides) under Lentinula edodes (shiitake mushroom). It matches the Rfam family "tRNA". From Rfam's summary of the family: Transfer RNA (tRNA) molecules are approximately 80 nucleotides in length. Their secondary structure includes four short double-helical elements and three loops (D, anti-codon, and T loops). Lineage: Eukaryota; Fungi; Basidiomycota; Agaricomycetes; Agaricales; Omphalotaceae. The record is from Rfam by way of RNAcentral.
GACCCCGUAGCUCAGUGGUAGAGCGUGAGAUUCCAGACUAUUGGAGUUUCCUCAAGGUCAUCCGUUCAAUCCGGGUCGGGGUCA